UUCUUCCUGAGAUGUGCGAUAGUCUAUGGUAAUUCAACCGACAUAGUUUAUACGGGAGUCUAAGUUCAUUAGUGGAUGAUAGGCCUAACUACAUUGGUAAUCAGAAUCUAGUGGCAGGACACCCACCUGCAGAUAUGCGGGUGUGAAUUAGCUAGGCAAACGGCAUCCCGGGAAUAUA
Molecule: non-coding RNA, 178 nt
Filed under: Proteiniborus ethanoligenes
Lineage: Bacteria; Bacillati; Bacillota; Clostridia; Eubacteriales
Also listed under: 1 other name
Description: 6S / SsrS RNA
Rfam family: 6S / SsrS RNA
About the family: E. coli 6S RNA was the first non coding RNA to be sequenced, but its function was unknown until recently.
Source: Rfam by way of RNAcentral